Long non-coding RNA from Talpa occidentalis (Iberian mole), 585 nucleotides. RefSeq lists it as uncharacterized. The transcript is spliced from 3 exons. Lineage: Eukaryota; Metazoa; Chordata; Mammalia; Eulipotyphla; Talpidae. The record is from RefSeq and is a predicted model, not a curated record.
AUCUUCAGCUUUCCUGGAGCUGCCUCGGAUCGGAAACUGAUCCUCAACACUGCCUUCAACCGGACCCCUUAAGGCAGAUCCUCGUGCAAACCUGAGCACACAGCAGGGUCAGAGCCGGAUACUGGAUGGGCAGUCACCGGGCGCCCGCAGAACCCUGUUGGAUAGGAAGUUAUACCCCAGAUGAAGAAAACUGAGAUCCAGAGAAGCUGUAAACUGUUUGGUGAGGAUCAUACAGCUCUGAAAUGUAGCUCCUUCUGAAGUAUAAAGACAUGAGUCAAGGGGAUUCACACAGAAAGAUUCUUCUUCUUAAGAACAAGAUCUUGGGCCUUCCUGGUGGCGCAAGUGGUUAAGCACAGAACUGUGAAGCUAUCCACAGCCUCUGCAGCAUGAGUUCAAUCCCCAGCCGGCCAGGGAGAUACCCACAUGGCGCAGCAGACCUCUCCUGUCUCACCCGCUGCUUCCCUCAACAGUGUUUUUCAGUCAGUCUGCCUGUUCUAUUCCCCACUCUGUCUCUGGUGAAUCCUCUCACCCACGUCCCUGCCCCCCACCCCACCCCGCACCUGUGGCCUAUACUCCAGUUCUUGU